This 5488-nucleotide long non-coding RNA is filed under the name Daucus carota (carrot). RNAcentral's name for it is "long non-coding RNA (DCAR_LNC002715)". Lineage: Eukaryota; Viridiplantae; Streptophyta; Magnoliopsida; Apiales; Apiaceae. The record is from RNAcentral.
UUAGUUAUGUGAAUAUUUAAACAAAAUUUUAUUUUAAGGAAACUAUCAGUUUAAAUUCUUCUUAGUGUAUUUUUGAGUUUGUUGUUGGGUAAUGGCUAGAAAUGUUGAUGUAGAAGUUAAAAAACAAUAGCUAUAAAGCUGACUUGUUGUCUAGGUGAAUCUGGCAUUUUGGAUUUGCUGCACCGCAAGGUCCAUGCAUCAUUAACUGAGAGACAGAUUCGUAGCCAAUUGGGUCAGCCUGUUGAUCAGGUAUCUCUGCACAUAUAAGGCCAUCUAUGUCGUUUGGAGUCAUUAAUUUAUCCUCUAGUGCCAGCCAUAGGACGAUAUGUGCGUGCGGCAACCCACGCUUCUUGUGACAUCCCUCAAAUCCGGGGGUCUGGAUUUGGUGCCACCAUCAUAAAAAUCUUUUAAAAACCUGUAUUUGCGGAAAAUGUGAAACAUAUAUCUAAAAAUCUGUACAUUCUAAAAGAGAUUUAAAUCAAAAUCACUUUGACCCCCUAAAAACAGGAUCGCUAAUAGGUUACAGCACUGAAAUCAGAAACCAAAACUAUAAAAUGUUAUUACAACUUAAACUACGUUAUCAGCUAAACUUCGGUAAGAAGGAUAACUGAUGACCAAUAAAUAAAAACUAUCUACAACUGAAUUGAAAUAAUUCAACUCUGACCAUAACUAGUCUCGCAGCCACCUCCCUGGCAGUCUCGCCUAGCAUUACUCUUACGCGCAUCUUGCCCAGGUUACCAUCUUAAUCCUUAGCUGAAAGGGUUAGAAAUAAUAGCAAGAGUGAGCAAUAAUGCUCAGCAAGUAUAACAUUAAAUUUUUAACAAUGCAAUACUAUAUGAAUUAAAUCAAAUAUUUGUAACAGAGAUUCAGUUCUAGGUUCCCCUCAAAUUAAUUGAAGUUCAAUUACAUACUGCCGCCCUUUUUAUAAAAAUUUCGAUUACAAUGGGUCCAAACUAUUCUUUUAUCAGAAUAUAGUCCAUUUAUAUGAAUAUAUAAUUAUUAACUUCCUUUCAACUCAUCUGACAAUACGGGUGAUCAGCCAUGGAAAGUCCUCCAUCUCGGGCACUAGAUGUACGUCCCACCGACGACGGAUCGUUCCGGGCACUGGAUCCAAGUCCCACCGGUAACGACACUACGGUACCCACUAGGCAUCUAAUUGGUCUCAACAGCUGGACUAGGUUCACUAGCCUUUUAUGCUAACUUUUACAGUUCCCAAGACAAUAGAAUCCAUAUCCCGGGCCCCGGACAUAACAUCCUCCCGGUGACAAUUAUUGGUGCCCCGGGCCCCGGACAUAAAGUCCUCCCGGUGGCAAUUAUUGGUGCCCCAGGCCCCGGACUUAUAGUCCUUCCGGUGACAAUAAUUUGUGUACACAAUAGGCAUCUUGCUCGCCUUUCUGAUUGGCUAUUCACUAGCCCACAGCUAUUCACUAGCCCCGGCUAUUCACUAGCCCUUCACCAUAUGUAUUUAUUUAUUUCACAACCAUAUAUAUUUAUUCUAAAACUCUUCUUUUCUUAUUUCAGAUCACCACCAUGUAACUCAAUGUAACCAAGUAGCUAUCUCAGCUAUCAAGAACAUAAUAUAUUUCUAGCAAUGUUGUCAACUGCAGAUAUAACAAUAGAGAUAUUUAACUUAUCUUUAAUCAAACGAGAAAGAUAACAAUGCUUGCCCUUUCAAUAUAAAUGCAGAAUAGAAUUACUUGCAGUAAUUACAAGUUGAGAAUAGAAAUACUUGCUAACUGCAAGAGAAAGAUAGAUAGAAGUACUUGCCUUAACUCCGGUGUCUAGCUCAGACUUCUAAUGACACUAUAUACCACCAUAUCAUUCCCUUCUGCCAACUUCUGAUAAGAUUUGAUUUAAAACUAAGUUUCGCCUUAAUUCAACUUGCACCACUUGGCUAUUUCUGAAUACCCAUUUCAAUCACGUCUCGAUCAAUGCCUCGUCAACGUCUCGUUCAAUUCUAUACGAUAGUAAAAUAGUAUUUCAGUCGUCGGAUCAGACGGAUUAACUAAUUCCGAAAGCGUUAGGACCUAUAUAUAGCUACCCUUCGCUUAUACUUACCACAUAGUCAGAUAAACACAUAGCACAUAAUUGCAAAAAUAACCCUUUUUAUAGCUACUAAAAUACAUAUAAUUUCUAACGAAAANUGAAUUAAAUCAAAUAUUUGUAACAGAGAUUCAGUUCUAGGUUCCCCUCAAAUUAAUUGAAGUUCAAUUACAUACUGCCGCCCUUUUUAUAAAAAUUUCGAUUACAAUGGGUCCAAACUAUUCUUUUAUCAGAAUAUAGUCCAUUUAUAUGAAUAUAUAAUUAUUAACUUCCUUUCAACUCAUCUGACAAUACGGGUGAUCAGCCAUGGAAAGUCCUCCAUCUCGGGCACUAGAUGUACGUCCCACCGACGACGGAUCGUUCCGGGCACUGGAUCCAAGUCCCACCGGUAACGACACUACGGUACCCACUAGGCAUCUAAUUGGUCUCAACAGCUGGACUAGGUUCACUAGCCUUUUAUGCUAACUUUUACAGUUCCCAAGACAAUAGAAUCCAUAUCCCGGGCCCCGGACAUAACAUCCUCCCGGUGACAAUUAUUGGUGCCCCGGGCCCCGGACAUAAAGUCCUCCCGGUGGCAAUUAUUGGUGCCCCAGGCCCCGGACUUAUAGUCCUUCCGGUGACAAUAAUUUGUGUACACAAUAGGCAUCUUGCUCGCCUUUCUGAUUGGCUAUUCACUAGCCCACAGCUAUUCACUAGCCCCGGCUAUUCACUAGCCCUUCACCAUAUGUAUUUAUUUAUUUCACAACCAUAUAUAUUUAUUCUAAAACUCUUCUUUUCUUAUUUCAGAUCACCACCAUGUAACUCAAUGUAACCAAGUAGCUAUCUCAGCUAUCAAGAACAUAAUAUAUUUCUAGCAAUGUUGUCAACUGCAGAUAUAACAAUAGAGAUAUUUAACUUAUCUUUAAUCAAACGAGAAAGAUAACAAUGCUUGCCCUUUCAAUAUAAAUGCAGAAUAGAAUUACUUGCAGUAAUUACAAGUUGAGAAUAGAAAUACUUGCUAACUGCAAGAGAAAGAUAGAUAGAAGUACUUGCCUUAACUCCGGUGUCUAGCUCAGACUUCUAAUGACACUAUAUACCACCAUAUCAUUCCCUUCUGCCAACUUCUGAUAAGAUUUGAUUUAAAACUAAGUUUCGCCUUAAUUCAACUUGCACCACUUGGCUAUUUCUGAAUACCCAUUUCAAUCACGUCUCGAUCAAUGCCUCGUCAACGUCUCGUUCAAUUCUAUACGAUAGUAAAAUAGUAUUUCAGUCGUCGGAUCAGACGGAUUAACUAAUUCCGAAAGCGUUAGGACCUAUAUAUAGCUACCCUUCGCUUAUACUUACCACAUAGUCAGAUAAACACAUAGCACAUAAUUGCAAAAAUAACCCUUUUUAUAGCUACUAAAAUACAUAUAAUUUCUAACGAAAAUUCGGCAGCAUCUCCUCUGUUUAUAGUCUUAUCCACCUGUUUGCAGUACCAACAACCAGCCAAUACUAUUGCUUACACAUGAAUUAUUACUAUAAAAAUCUGCCUUGACAAGCAUUAUUUCUGAAUACCCAUUUCAAUCACGUCUCGAUCAAUGCCUCGUCAACGUCUCGUUCAAUUCUAUACGAUAGUAAAAUAGUAUUUCAGUCGUCGGAUCAGACGGAUUAACUAAUUCCGAAAGCGUUAGGACCUAUAUAUAGCUACCCUUCGCUUAUACUUACCACAUAGUCAGAUAAACACAUAGCACAUAAUUGCAAAAAUAACCCUUUUUAUAGCUACUAAAAUACAUAUAAUUUCUAACGAAAAUUCGGCAGCAUCUCCUCUGUUUAUAGUCUUAUCCACCUGUUUGCAGUACCAACAACCAGCCAAUACUAUUGCUUACACAUGAAUUAUUACUAUAAAAAUCUGCCUUGACAAGCAUUAAACACAUAAGAAAAUCUGCCUUGACUUGCAUUAAGCAUAUAAUGAAAUCUUUUAGCAGGAUUGCUAAUUUUUUAUACACAAAACACGUUUAAUUAGAUAUACAAGGUUAACCGAGCCAAUCCCUUUCAUAAUCAAUCAUAUGCUAUUAACCAAGUAUAACCUCAUACUAUGCACUAACAAAGAAAGAAGACUAGAACAAAUAGUUCAAACAGCCCUCACUCUAAGAUUUUUAAUAAAUUGAGAAUUUAUCAUUUUAAUACGAAAUUUUUAUGAGACACUCCUAAACAUUAUUCCAAUCUACUAUAAAAAUUUCAGAACCAAAUUCCAUGUUUAAGGGAGUAAACCAGGGCCUGCAAGUCAGGAACCUGAAUUUGUCCUGCAGAACCAGCCCCACGCUAUGAAUUUUAAUAAAUAGAAAAUUUGGUCUGUUUGUAUAAAAUUUUAAUGACAUAUUCCAGAUACUAACAUCUAACUCCGGUAAAAAUUUCAGAAGAAAAUCUCAAGUUUAAAGUAGCAAAACAGGGCCUAGAAUAGGACACACCUGCCCAGAAUUUUCUGCUCAACUCACACUAAAACAUACAUAUCCUUUAGCUUGUUUAACGAAACUUUGAAAUUCUUUUUCGUACUUGAUCUACACUUCAAGGAGCAUAUAAUCACAGAGAGAUUAGGCAUAGUUCUAACUUAACAGUUUCAAAACAGAUAUGCAAAACAGGGCAUAACCGCUGCGGAAACUUGACAACAAUUGACUUAGUUCUAAUACCACAACUCUAAUUACUCAAAACCCAUAUUCACAAAUCAAACAUCAAUAACCAGAAAUCAUAAACUCAAAAUCAUAGCAACUAAUUCCUAUACUUCAUUUAUAUAUCAAAUUAACAUCCACAUCAAGUUAAUCUCUCAACCAGUAAUAUGAUCAUAUACACAUAUAUAACUAAUUUAUCAAAGAAAGGUGUAUACCCACUGAUAACAACAAAAGUACACAUAUAUAUAUAAUCUGAUUCUAACAAAAAAAAUUAAUAAUACCCACUAAUUCGGAAUAAGAGAUGCAAGGGGUGAAGUGCUCGCCGGAAUCACACCCAUCGCCAAUACACCACCACUUGCUGCCAACCACAACUCCCCCGCCCCGUGUUACUUCAUCUCGCUCUUCUAUCACAACGUCGUCUCAACCCCAGUCUCCGCCAUAAUCGAACCUCCGGCGACUGCUACCAACACCUCCACCAUCAGCAGCCAGCACAAGCCCACAAACAACACGACAAUCACCCUAUAUAGAUACACGUAUAUACAUAUAUAGUCAAGCACACAUGAAUUUGAAUGUGAAAAGAUUGAACUCAAUUCUUUUGCCCUCUGAUUGAAUCCUCUGUAUAAAAACAUAACCCUAAAACUUAUGUGUCCUUACCCCAAUUCUCUCUCGCCGACUCAACACAAAUUUUCUUUUCUUUUUGUUUUCUAUUUUUAUUAUACUAAAAAUCAAACCCCCAAUUCUAAUUGAAAAGCUAUUUUCAUAAUUUUGGGCCUCAAAAUAUUCCCAAAAUUUAAAAAUAACUAAAAUUCAAAUUUAAC